UAAGCAAAAUAACAGUACAUUGUGGCCUUGAUUGUCAUCCUGUAUAUAGUUACAUACAAUUAUGCAUCUCUUGUCAGGUGGCUACACAAUAACAUUAGUAUCUGUAAAACUUGUUACAUUCAAGAUACAUAAAAAAAAAGGAGACCCAUACGAACUAGCCCCUACGACAAUCUCCACUACUAUUAAACAAUCCAACAAGAACUUUUUUAAGUGCACCCCGCAAUUACCCCCAGCACACCGGACGACUCAUUCACCACCGCACGAUUAGACCCACAAAUCUGAAUCUAACAGCCAUCAUUGAUCUAAUACCUCUACGGUGUGCAUGUAGCAAUUUCCGUUGGCUGACCGUGCUUCACCUGCAGGGAAUAUUCCACCUACGCGUGUGAUGUCCCUACAAUCACGCAAAUGUAAUCGCUAACUUCUCCGUGAUUGCAUCUCUUCUAGCCCCUGCCUCCCCGCACCUAUCGCCACCGCCCCUCGCUAAAAUAAAACCCACACGCCCGACGGCCGACGACGCACGACCCUCCUCCCUCGAGCAGCAGCAACGGAGCGGCGCGUAGGGGCUCAACCUAUGUCGACGGGCGGCGUGGUCCCUCUCCUCCAUCGAGUAGCGGCAGCGGCACGGGACGCAGCGGGCUCGGCCUUCGUCGGUGGCGGCAGGGUCCCUUUCCUCCCUCGACCAUCGGCGGCGGCACCGAAUGCAACAGGCGGCCAGGGAGACGGCGCUGCGUGCAAGGCGCGGCAACGAAGCUGAGGGAGCCGGCCCUUGUGGCACGGGGGCGCGACGGUUCCAUGGCGGCUGUGGGGUGGAGGGCGCGUGCGUGAAGGCGGCACAUUCCUUUGGCUUUCGGCAUGCCGCGGCAUUGACUUCCCUGCUGUCGUCGUGCUCCCUGAUGCCAGCUCCUCCUUCCUCCCGCCGCUGGACAUGCACAACACCAUCCCAUGCCCUCUGUCCGCUGGCCAGAGAAAGGCAUCAGUGAGAAAUAUGGAUGAUGCACGCGAACGGAUUGGCACUCCCAUCUCCACUGCACUGAAGGAGAUCAAGCCCAUUUCCAUCAGCAUCAACUAGAACCUCCCCUCGACCUGCAUCCUUGCCUUUCUUUUGUAUCUCCCCAAGGUAAGUUGGCAUGCUCCAUGUUCGUGCAUAAGGACGGUGAGAUGGAUAUGGGUUUGGUAUUACUGUUGUUGAUGAACUGCUCAUUUGCCAGACUGUCAAACCAGAUGAGCCUGAAAGGAACCAAGAGAAAUGACUAUUCAUUUGGCUUUGGUAUUACUAUUGUUGAUGAACUGCUCAUUUGCCAGACUGUCAAACCAGAUGAGCCUGAAAGGAACUAAGAGAAAUGACUAUUCAUUUACCAAUCUUGCCAUUCUCUGUAUUGUCAAUUUGCCAAUUCGACUGAUGCUUGAAUGUAUUAGUAGACAAAAUGACAUGUUUGUUGAUCAGCUAUGAUAUGUGUUUCCAUUGGCUACUUGCCGCUUUCUAAGGGGCAGAUUUUAGCUUGACAAGAUUUGUGCAAAAACAUAGCAGUGCUCUUGAUCUGAUGGAAACUCAGAGUAGGGUGUUCCAAACUAGAUUGAUACACGUAAGAAUUUUUGACUGAUUUUUAUGCUCAGAGCUACAUACAUGCUCGCAGCGCUUCACCUAUCCUAGAACUUUCAUUUCAAUUUUUGUGUCGCUACAAUUUGUCCAUUAAUCGAUAUUCUAGCUCCAUUAAUUGGUAUUCUAGCUGAAAGUUUCAAAGUUGUCAAUUGUUUUUGAAACUCGGUUCACAGAGUGGCUGGUCCUUUUUUGGGACAUAUUUGUUGUGUCUUUUCCCCAUUUUGUCUUGUAUUUUGUCAUACACAGUUCAAUUAGCUAAUUGUUAUUAUGCCAUAGGUAAAUUGUGCAACCUAUUGCCGCUCUGCCAUGGGUCACAUGGUCGUCCUUCAUACACCGCUUUACUAGGACUAACGCUGAAGUACAGAUGAUGGUGUAUAAAAUUUCAAAAGAAGUUGCCUCUUGUUUGGACACCCCGAAGCACGGGCUGGCAAGACUAAGAUUGGGCAAAGAGAGCUUCAGGAGGACCGUUUAUGACACCUCACUCGACGGUUUAUUCUUCAAGCAAGGAUGGAAGAAGUUCCUCACGAGACAUGACAUGAGAUUAGCA
This is a long non-coding RNA of Triticum dicoccoides, 2147 nucleotides long. RefSeq lists it as uncharacterized. The transcript is spliced from 3 exons. Lineage: Eukaryota; Viridiplantae; Streptophyta; Magnoliopsida; Poales; Poaceae. The record is from RefSeq and is a predicted model, not a curated record.